Molecule: long non-coding RNA, 464 nt
Filed under: Oryctolagus cuniculus (rabbit)
Lineage: Eukaryota; Metazoa; Chordata; Mammalia; Lagomorpha; Leporidae
Description: lncRNA (ENSOCUG00000039110.1)
Source: RNAcentral
AAUCUGUGUCAGCAUUUAAUAUUGUUAGUACUUUUAAUUUUAGUCAUUCUAGUAUGAGUGUAGUAAUACCUUCUUAUGGCUGUAUUUUAUUUUUAAAAUAUUUAUUUAUUUAUUUAUUUUAGGGUGAGAGCAAGCAUGCGAGAGCUCCUAUCCACUGGGUCACACCCCAGAUGCUGCAAUGGCUGGGACUGGACUGGGCUAAAGACAGACAGGCGAAAUUCAGUGUGGAUCUUUCAUGUGGAUGCAGGAACCCAGCGGAGCUAUGAAUGCUGCUUUCCAAGAACUGCAUUGGCAAGAAGCUGGGUUCAGGAGCCCAGCAUCACAUCCAGAGAAAGGGAAAACGCUGAGAAGCGGAGAGCUCCGAAGUUACUGGAAAUAGCCACGAGUCCAGGAGUCCAGCCAAUAGGAGGAAGAGAGAGAGGGCCCUGACUUGUGUUCACCGGAGCUCCCAGGGGAAGCCUCGG